AGAGUUUGACUAUGGCUCAGGACGAACGCUGGCGGCGUGCUUAACACAUGCAAGUCGAGCGGAAAGGCCACUUCGGUGGUACUCGAGCGGCGAACGGGUGAGUAACACGUGAGUAAUCUGCCCCCCACUUUGGGAUAGCCACCGGAAACGGUGAUUAAUACCGGAUAUGACCUCGCACCGCAUGGUGUGUGGUGGAAAGUUUUUCGGUGGGGGAUGUGCUCGCGGCCUAUCAGCUUGAUGGUGGGGUAAUGGCCUACCAUGGCUUCGACGGGUAGCCGGCCUGAGAGGGUGACCGGCCACACUGGGACUGAGACACGGCCCAGACUCCUACGGGAGGCAGCAGUGGGGAAUAUUGGACAAUGGGCGGAAGCCUGAUCCAGCAACGCCGCGUGAGGGAUGACGGCCUUCGGGUUGUAAACCUCUUUCAGCACAGACGAAGCGAAAGUGACGGUAUGUGCAGAAGAAGCACCGGCCAACUACGUGCCAGCAGCCGCGGUAAUACGUAGGGUGCGAGCGUUGUCCGGAAUUAUUGGGCGUAAAGGGCUCGUAGGCGGUUUGCCGCGUCGGGAGUGAAAACACACAGCUUAACUGUGUGCUGGCUUCCGAUACGAGCAGACUAGAGGUAUGCAGGGGAGAACGGAAUUCCUGGUGUAGCGGUGAAAUGCGCAGAUAUCAGGAGGAACACCGGCGGCGAAGGCGGUUCUCUGGGCAUUACCUGACGCUGAGGAGCGAAAGUGUGGGGAGCGAACAGGGUUAGAUACCCUGGUAGUCCACACCGUAAACGUUGGGCGCUAGGUGUGGGGCCUAUUCCAUGGGUUCCGUGCCGCAGCUAACGCAUUAAGCGCCCCGCCUGGGGAGUACGGCCGCAAGGCUAAAACUCAAAUGAAUUGACGGGG
Molecule: ribosomal RNA, 896 nt
Filed under: uncultured Actinomycetes bacterium
Lineage: Bacteria; Bacillati; Actinomycetota; Actinomycetes
Description: bacterial SSU rRNA
Rfam family: Bacterial small subunit ribosomal RNA
Source: RNAcentral